This 851-nucleotide long non-coding RNA is filed under the name Homo sapiens (human). RNAcentral describes it as "non-protein coding lnc-ZBED5-1:9". The record is from RNAcentral. Lineage: Eukaryota; Metazoa; Chordata; Mammalia; Primates; Hominidae.
CCUUUUUAGACCACAGCUGUCACAUGUUUCUGACUCAACUUGCUUCUGCCAUGCCAGCGUCACCCCUGGUCUCAGGAAGCCAGGCACCCCGAAUGGAGAGACCAGCUGAAGCCGCGGCAGAAGAACAAAAAUUGUGAAGAUUUAAUGGACAUUUAUCAGUUCCCAAAAUUAAUAUUUUUAUAAUUUCUUACGCCUGUCUUUACUGCAAUCUCUGAACAUAAAUUGUGAAGAUUUCAUGGAUAUUUAUCACUUCCCCAAUCAAUACUCUUAUAAUUUCUUAUGUUUGUCUUUAAUCUCUUAAUCCCGUCAUCUUUGUAAGCUGAGGAUGUAUGUCACCUCAGGACCCUGUGAUGAUUGCAUUAACUGUACAGAUUGUAAAACGUGUGUUUGAACAAUAUGAAACCAGUGCACCCUGAAAAAGGACAGAAUAACAGUGAUUUUCAGGGAACAAAAGAGAUAAUCAUAAGGCCUGACUGCCUGCGGGGUUGGGCAGAACACAGCCAUAUUUUUCUUCUCGCAGAAAGCCUAUAGAUGGAUGUGUGAGUAGGAGAAAUAUUGCUGAAUUCUUUUCCCAGCAAGGAAUAUUAAUAAUUGAUAGCCCUGGGGAAGGAAUGCAUUCCUGGGGGGAGGUCUAUGAACGCCUGCUCUGGGAUUGUCUGUCUUAUGUGGUUGAGAUAAGGACUGAAAUACACCCUGGUCUCCCGCAGUGCCCUCAGGCUUGCUAGGAUUGGGAAAUUCCAGCCUGGUGAAUUCUAGUCAGACCGGUUGUCUGCUCUCAAACUCUCUUUCCUGUUAAGAUGUUUAUCAAGACAAUGCAUGCACAGGAGGACAUGGACCCUCAUCAGUAAUUC